Nannospalax galili (Upper Galilee mountains blind mole rat) is the source of this 126-nucleotide small nuclear RNA. The record is from Ensembl. Lineage: Eukaryota; Metazoa; Chordata; Mammalia; Rodentia; Spalacidae.
GUUAUGUAUCAAAGGAGAGAAGGUUAGCAUUUGCUUUGAAAAAGAUGGAAGAGGCCCUUGGGCCUAACAACAUGCAUACAGUUAAGGCAUUGCCAUCUACUCUGUGGCAUCUAACCCCACAUCAAG